This 254-nucleotide ribosomal RNA is filed under the name uncultured bacterium. RNAcentral's name for it is "partial 16S ribosomal RNA". It matches the Rfam family "Bacterial small subunit ribosomal RNA", at positions 524 to 776 of the family's 1533-position model. The record is from RNAcentral.
CACGUAGGGUGCGAGCGUUGUCCGGAAUUAUUGGGCGUAAAGAGCUCGUAGGCGGUGUGUCGCGUCGGCCGUGAAAACCUACAGCUUAACUGUGGGCUUGCGGUCGAUACGGGCAUCACUGGAGUUCGGCAGGGGAGACUGGAAUUCCUGGUGUAGCGGUGAAAUGCGCAGAUAUCAGGAGGAACACCGGUGGCGAAGGCGGGUCUCUGGGCCGAUACUGACGCUGAGGUGCGAAAGCGUGGGGAGCAAACAGG